GCCGGGAUGGCCGAACCAGGCUAAGGCGCCAGAAGCUCGAGCUGGUGGGGCUCUUGCCCCGUGCAGGUUCGAAUCCUGCUCCCGGCG
Molecule: transfer RNA, 87 nt
Rfam family: tRNA
About the family: Transfer RNA (tRNA) molecules are approximately 80 nucleotides in length.